This 465-nucleotide ribosomal RNA is filed under the name Candidatus Regiella insecticola. Its description in RNAcentral is "bacterial SSU rRNA". It matches the Rfam family "Bacterial small subunit ribosomal RNA", at positions 338 to 795 of the family's 1533-position model. Lineage: Bacteria; Pseudomonadati; Pseudomonadota; Gammaproteobacteria; Enterobacterales; Enterobacteriaceae. The record is from RNAcentral.
CCUACGGGUGGCAGCAGUGGGGAAUAUUGCACAAUGGGCGGAAGCCUGAUGCAGCCAUGCCGCGUGUGUGAAGAAGGCCUUAGGGUUGUAAAGCACUUUCAGCGGGGAGGAAGGCGGUAAGAGUAAUAUGCUUAUCAAUUGACGUUACCCGCAAAAGAAGCACCGGCUAACUCCGUGCCAGCAGCCGCGGUAAUACGGAGGGUGCGAGCGUUAAUCGGAAUAACUGGGCGUAAAGAGCAUGUAGGCGGUAAGUUAAGUCAGAUGUGAAAUCCCCGAGCUUAACUUGGGAACGGCAUUUGAGACUGGCUGGCUAGAGUUUUGUAGAGGGGGGUAGAAUUCCAGGUGUAGCGGUGAAAUGCGUAGAGAUCUGGAGGAAUACCGGUGGCGAAGGCGGCCCCCUGGACAAGGACUGACGCUGAGGUGCGAAAGCGUGGGUAGCAAACAGGAUUAGAUACCCCAGUAGUC